Molecule: ribosomal RNA, 344 nt
Filed under: uncultured bacterium
Lineage: Bacteria
Description: bacterial SSU rRNA
Rfam family: Bacterial small subunit ribosomal RNA
Source: RNAcentral
GAUGAACGCUAGCGGCAGGCCUAAUACAUGCAAGACUAGGGGGCAGCAAAUGUCACCGUCGCACGGGUGCGUAACGCGUAUGCAACCUACCUAUCACAGGGGGGAUAGCCCUUUGGAAAACAGGGGAUUAAAUACCCGCAUAAAGCAGGGGCUCCGCAUGGGAGAUAUUGCUAAAGAUUUAUCGGGUGAUAGAUGGGCAUGCGUCUGAUUAGUUAGAUGGUGGGGUAACGGCCUACCAUGGCGAUGAUCAGUAGGGGGCGUCAGAGCGUGGUCCCCCCACACUGGCACUGAGAUACGGGCCAGACUCCUACGGGAGCAGCAGUAGGGAAUAUUGGGCAAUGGAU